GUAGGGAAUAUUGGACAAUGGGGGAAACCCUGAUCCAGCAACGCCGCGUGGAUGAUGAAGCAUCUUGGUGUGUAAAAUCCUGUCAGUGGGGACGAAACGUUUGCGGAGGAAAUGCCGCAGACCUGACUGUACCCGCAGAGGAAGUUCCGGCCAACUCCGUGCCAGCAGCCGCGGUAAUACGGGGGGAACAAGCGUUGUUCGGAUUUACUGGGCGUAAAGGGCACGCAGGCGGGGAGACAAGUCAGAUGUGAAAACCCAAAGCUUAACUCUGGGCCUGCAUUUGAUACUGUUUCUCUUGAGUAUGGGAGAGGAUAGCGGAAUUCUUGGUGUAGCGGUGAAAUGCGUAGAUAUCAAGAAGAACACCGGUGGCGAAGGCGGCUAUCUGGCCCAAUACUGACGCUCAUGUGCGAAGGCAAGGGGAGCAAACAGGAUUAGAUACCCCUGUAGUCC
Molecule: ribosomal RNA, 450 nt
Filed under: uncultured bacterium
Lineage: Bacteria
Description: bacterial SSU rRNA
Rfam family: Bacterial small subunit ribosomal RNA
Source: RNAcentral